GCCGGUUUGGCUCAGUGGAUAGAGCAUCGGCCUGCGGACUGAAAGGUCCCAGGUUCGAUUCCAGGCAACGGCA
This 73-nucleotide transfer RNA is filed under the name Myotis davidii. It matches the Rfam family "tRNA". From Rfam's summary of the family: Transfer RNA (tRNA) molecules are approximately 80 nucleotides in length. Their secondary structure includes four short double-helical elements and three loops (D, anti-codon, and T loops). The record is from Rfam by way of RNAcentral. Lineage: Eukaryota; Metazoa; Chordata; Mammalia; Chiroptera; Vespertilionidae.